Molecule: long non-coding RNA, 4928 nt
Filed under: Salmo salar (Atlantic salmon)
Lineage: Eukaryota; Metazoa; Chordata; Actinopteri; Salmoniformes; Salmonidae
Description: lncRNA (ENSSSAG00000115696.1)
Source: RNAcentral
GGUACGGCCCUGUGAUGGGCUAGCGUCCUGGGUACGGCCCUGUGAUGGGCAAGCGUCCUGGAUACGGCCCUGUGAUAGGCCGGCGUCCUGUCCAGGGGUACGGCCCUGUGAUAGGCUGGCGUCCUGUCCAGGGGUUAAGGCCCUGUGAUAGGCCAGCAUCCUGUCCAAGAGGUGGUACUUGUACAUCAAGCUGCCUCUCACUACAGAAACAGGAGGUAGACUCCUGCCCUAUGGGCCGUUCUCAUCAAGCUGCCUCUCACUACAGAAACAGGAGAUAGACUCCUGCCCUAUGGGCCGUUCUCAUCAAGCUGCCUCUCACUACAGAAACAGGAGAUAGACUCCUGCCCUAUGGGCCGUUCUCAUCACGCUGCCUCUCACUACAGAAACAGGAGAUAGACUCCUGCCCUAUGGGCCGUUCUCAUCAAGCUGCCUCUCACUACAGAAUCAGGAGAUAGACUCCUGCCCUAUGGGCCGUUCUCAUCAAGCUGCCUCUCACUACAGAAACAGGAGAUAGACUCCUGUCCUAUGGGCCGUUCUCAUCAAGCUGCCUCUCACUACAGAAACAGGAGGUAGACUCCUGCCCUAUGGGCCGUUCUCAUCAAGCUGCCUCUCACUACAGAAACAGGAGGUAGACUCCUGCCCUAUGGGCCGUUCUCAUCACGCUGCCUCUCACUACAGAAACAGGAGAUAGACUCCUGUCCUAUGGGCCGUUCUCAUCAAGCUGCCUCUCACUACAGAAACAGGAGAUGGACUCCUGCCCUAUGGGCCGUUCUCAUCACGCUGCCUGAUAUUAUCUCAUAGAACAAAACGUGUCAAAUCUCCGAAACCUGUUAGCCUCAGACCGCGUUAUCCAAAACACCUCCAAAAGCGGCAUUAAAUUUCCCCCCGUAGGCUUUGAGCAACGAGCCAUUGGGACUACAAGCUGGCGAGCCCUAUAGCUCUGUUCCAAAGUCCAAUUCAUUUAUUAGUCUCUCAAAUCCGUGUAUUUCUUUACACACCUAUGACCGCAUAUUGUGUGGAAGCUCAGGGGGGGGAAGCUAAAUUCCAGACCACGAUGUCUUUCUCGCUCUCUUGUAAUAAAUGUGAUCAAAUUGGCCAAUAGGAGACUUGUUGAAUGCCUUCCAGUCCUUGUGAUAACCUCUCUCUGUCUCUCUCUCUCUCUCUGUCUCUCUCUCUGUCUCUCUCUCUGUCUGUCUCUCUCUCUCUCUUCUCUCUCCUCUCUCUCUCUCUCUCUCAGCUCGGUCUAUCCCCCCCCCCCCCAGAGCAGCAGGGUAGACCAGUCAGGCAGGCAUGGCUUCGUGUUGUGAAUGAACAACUCAGGCACGUUCUCACAUUCCUCAAGGCAAACAGCACAGAGAUUGCUGAGAUUAUCAUAAUUGUCCUAUUUCGUGCAAUAGUUCCGUAUACGCUUACCUUUCAAAAGACUACAGGCACUGGGUAGCUGUAAGUAUAAGGGUUAUUACACCAUCAUUGGAUACAAGUGUCACUAAAUGAAGACCUGAAUCAAAUGUAGCCUACAGUAGUCGCUAAUUCCUACCUUUUUGUGAUGACGACCAACUGUGAUUUGAUGCGGGGUAAAAUGACAUGGUUGCUGCACAGCCAGCCCAGCCAAUCGGAAGGCUUAUCCUGAGCAAUAACCGCUGCAACCUGGUCUCAGAGCUUUUUGUAUUAUUCUGUACGUAAAUCUGGGGAAACUCAAUUUCCUGUGUUAUUUUAUGUAUUAAUUUGUGGAUGUCUAUCACCCAUUUCGUAUGAUAUGUUACGAAAUACGAUUUGUAUUAUAUGUUACGAAUUCUAGCUCGGCUAGGGGUUUUUGAGUUAGGCUAAAGAGUUAAGUGUUAGCUAACAUGCUAAAUGGUUGCAAAGUUUCAACAAAAAAAAAAGUAGUAAGUAGAUAAAAUGCUAAAGUUGUCUGUGAUGCGAUUCGAACUCACAACCUUUCGGUUACUAGACGUUGGCUUUAUACACCCACUCAUCCGACUUCCGUUUUUUUUUUUUACCUCAAGUAAACCAUCUGUCUUAUACAACCCUAUCAAACAUGCCAUACUAAUUUUACAGUCCCGGAUUUACGUUUACUAUGUAAUGACAGUGUAUGAGACCAGGCUGUAACAACCACAUCGAUGAGAGCCGACGUGCACUUAAUAAUACCGUGCGCGAUAUGUAGGCUACGCAAACAAAGGCAACACGCCAGAAACCUUGGGACUUUUCAAAACGUACCAAGUUACUUUCAUCGAGCUUCUGAAUUCUAUAAAUGAAUUCAGAGAACAGCCAACUGUUUCGAGAGAUAAACCAACAAGUAUCAGUGAACAGGCGCUCUUUGCUUUACCAAAAAUAAUCUGGCCAGCAUUCCGGAAACAAAUGGUGACUGUGUCCCCUACUAGAGCGUUCAAUCUGUCUUUAUUUGUGCUCGGAUUGUGAAAGUCUACCGUAAUAAUCGCCCUACCCAUGUGAACUCGGUAUAAUUGAUUUAAGUAACAAAUUGUCCCCAGUAGCUGCUGAAAGAAACACAGUUGUCUGUGGGGGAGGGGUGGCCCUGGACAAACCGAGCAUGUGAGUCGUGACAUGAUCUUUCUAUGUAGAGAAAGCGCCUAGAUAAAUACAAAAAAAAAACGAAAUGUAGCCAGUAGAUGAACUAACUACCUACUGCAACAGUCUCCCACUCCAAUACUGAGCAAACAAAUAAUAAUAAUGUAGAGAUACCGUGUGUGUUACAGUGUUGCAAGCUCACCAGUUGAACAAGAAAGUGUCUCAUUGGUAAAUCAAUGCUGAUUGUUGGCUUCGUUUUUUUACAUUAUUCUGUCGGUCCAAAAUAAUGACAUCAGUUUCAGAGGAAAAAGGCCGGAUCACCUUGACUGUUAACCUUGAACCCUGAUUCCUUCCAAAAAAAUCUAACUGUAUUGGGAUAAAACUACUAAUUACCGAGGUAAUGGAUGUCCCCCAUUGUCAUUUGGCACAUUAUUUUGUUCAGAGAAAUAAAGUAAUUGAUAUUUACCAACUCUUAUCAAUGUUUUCCAUUCUGGGCUGACAGCAGAAACAAGCAUGCCAUUAUGGCAAGACAAGCACAUGUUAGUUGCAAUCCAACACCAUAUCAUGUAAAUGAUGUCCUUCAAAAUGACCUCUUUGGCAAAGGACACCGAGUCUAGCUUUCGUUGUACGUGAUCGACCCGGGUUUAAACGAAUAAUAACGGAUAGGAACAUUAUUAACGUUCACUUGACCUAAAAGUCUGAAUAUAUUUCAACUGCCUUUUUUUUUUAUUUUUUUUUUUUUUUAGACAGAACUAAUUUUCAUGACAUUUAUUUUGAAUCGUAUUCCAUCAAUAGGUUAUACGGUUAUUUUACAGAAGAGUUUUUUAUAAAUCACGUUUAAUUGAUUUGUCAUGUUUCCAUUGAAGAGUGAAUGAUCUCUACACAGCACGCUAUGGUCAAUCAAACAGGUGCUGUAUCAGGAAAUACAGAACGACUCAGGAACUCUCUGUGCCGUUACAUUAUUCUGACAAUACACGGAAACAACAGGGCUACAACUCCUAUCGUUCUUAUCCUCCAGUUCAUUUCAAGAAAAAGCGUCGAUUAAAAGUAGUUUAUUACGGAUUUAUGUACUUACACCAACUGCCACCAGUGCGUCCUAGAAAUUCCUUCUUUUCCGAAUUCCACAGAAAGCUCUUCCAUCCACCGUCUCCAUCUUUAUUUGCCGACAUCUUUUUUUUUUGCCUUUUAAUUUCCCUUUUCAAUCAAUAUUAUCUAAUGGGUGUAGGUACCCGAUUCGUGUACUGUCCCCCGGUACAGAAUAGUAAAGGACAGUUUCGUACCCGGCUCUCCUAUUGUACACCACACAUUUAGUUCUUAUGGUAUCCGACUCCGCCCGCAAACUCUUGUAAUAAGUUACCUACAAAGAGGGGGGGGCUAACUCUGACCAAUCACAAGCGGUCAUCCUUCUGCGUAAGAAUCAAGGGGGCAACAGCUAUGAUCACUGCUCUAUGAAGGCAAGACUGCUCUAUGAAGGCAAGACUGCUCUAUGAAGGCAAGACUGCUCUAUGAAUGCAAGACUGCUCUAUGAAUGCAAGACUGCUCUAUGAAGGCAAGACUGCUCUAUGAAGGCAAGACUGCUCUAUGAAGACAAGACUGCUCUAUGAAGGCAAGACUGCUCUAUGAAGACAAGACUGCUCUAUGAAGGCAAGACUGCUCCACGAGGCAAGACUGCUCUAUGAAGGCAAGACUGCUCCACGAGGCAAGACUGCUCCAUGAGGCAAGACUACUCUAUGAAGGCAAGACUGCUCCACGAGGCAAGACUGCUCCACGAGGCAAGACUGCUCUAUGAAGGCAAGACUGCUCCAUGAAGGCAAGACUGCUCCAUGAAGGCAAGACUGCUCUAUGAAGGCAAGACUGCUCCAUGAAGGCAAGACUGCUCCACGAGGCAAGACUGCUCUAUGAAGGCAAGACUGCUCUAUGAAGGCAAGACUGCUCCAUGAGUCAAGACUGCUCUAUGAAGGCAAGACUGCUCCAUGAAAGCAAGACUGCUCCAUGAGUCAAGACUGCUCCAUGAGGGUUCAAAACGAAAUGGUGUCAACUCAAAUGGUAGAAUUAUUAAACCCGAAAUAGAAUUAAAACAAUUCUAUGUUGAUGUCAUAAACUCGGAAACAUUAUAUUACCAUUCUUGGAGUUCUAUUAUCACAUCGCAGGUUUAAAAAGUAAUUAUAUUUCUCAGGAGUCAACUUUGUACUUUAGUACAUUUGAUUAUAAUUGUUGCUAAAUAUCACAUCCAUAAAAUUAAUUGUUUAUUAAGGGGGGGGGAAAAACAUCUUAUUCAAUAUUUUUUUUUUUAAGGUAGACUUAAAUAAUUACUUUGCCAAAUUGCUCUGUGAGAAUAAGACGGUAUUGAAAUUAAUUUAUACUCUUAAGCUUUUAAAAUGUUGUUGAAUGUUAAAACGCUG